Long non-coding RNA from Antechinus flavipes (yellow-footed antechinus), 7095 nucleotides. RefSeq lists it as uncharacterized. The transcript has 2 exons. Lineage: Eukaryota; Metazoa; Chordata; Mammalia; Dasyuromorphia; Dasyuridae. The record is from RefSeq and is a predicted model, not a curated record.
UUGUCCCAGUUCUUCUUUUGAGGGACGUUUUGAGGAGAUCCUUCAUCCAUUGAGGGAGAUGUUUUCUUUCUGGGAAAUGAUUUUGACUACUUUUCAAUGGUUUUUCUUCAAAAUUCUUUGUGUCCUAUCCAUUACAGGUAGAAAGCCAUCAACUAAAAAUGGAAUCAUUUACUUUUAAAGUAAAAAAUAUUUCCAAAUCAGUGUGGAGAAACAUAUAACUACUAAAUAUUUCAAGUAGUUUAGAAGAUGACACUCCAUUCUAGGCAAUUUUAUAAUAUCAAAGAUGACUACUGUGGAAGGGCAUUUAUUCAGUGAAAAGUAGUAGAAAAUAAUUCAUCUCAGAUAAAGAAUUUAGCCCCACCACUAACCAAGUUAGUAAAUAUACAGAAUGAGGGAUUUAGAAUUACACAUCCAUUUGAAAAUAGAAAAUUAAGAAAUCUGGUGCCCAUGUAAUUUAUCUUAAUAAAAUGCAUUUUCCCCAUAUAGCUAUUUAUACCUAAAACGAUUGGGAUAUACUUUGGCAAGGAUAAAAGGCAUAGCUAGUGGCAUAUCAUAUCACUGCAUGGAGGCUAGCAAUUAGAAUGUAGCCAGACAAAAUCACAAGGGGGUCUAUAAAUAAAUAAAAGAAAGCCUUAAUGUGAUUUAAAUACCGUGACUGAGUUGUAUUCAGUGACAGCCUGGUCACCAAGUACAGUGCGACAUCAUGCUCUAUAGAGAUGGAUUCCAGCAAAAGACUUCUCCAUCAGCCAUCUGGCCCCUGACUCUCUAAGUCCAGCUUACUGAAUGACACGUAACCCAGUGGGAUGCACCAAAUUUGCUUAAGCAUAAGCACAUCAUCUUCUCAUAACAAAAGCUUGAAUAUGACCCUAAUUUUAGUUACAUGAAAUAUCUUGAGGAUAUUAAUAAAAACAAGGUAAUAUCAAGGUACUACACAUAUUACCCAUAAGGCUCAUUGUUACUGUUUUUUAAGAAAUCCAAUCAGACAAUUUAAUUUAAAUAUCAAUUUUAGCUUAAAUUUGAGAGGGCAGAAAGUUCAACUUUAAAAUUUACUUUUAAAGGAAAGGGGGGGAAAGGACCUAGCCUUCUGUUUCUCUCUUGGUAUCAUUAAAAACUCCAGUCUAACUUUUUCAUCAAAUUCCUGAGCCUCAGAAUUUUUCUGUUCACUAGAUCUUAGGAAAUCUAUGGGAAAAAUGUAGUGCAUGAACUCAUAUUUUGGAGUAAUUUCUGCCCUUCCUCUGUCUUCCUUGUUUUUUUCCAGAAGUUUCAAGCAUAUUCUAUAAUAAAGGUGAAGAACAAAGAAAGUUAAUUGUAUUACUCUCUGCCAGUCUUCCUAAAGCUCUUUAAGAGCUACUAUUUCUGUUUUUUUUUGGUUGUUGUUGUUAUUUGUGAAUUCUUUUUCUGUUUCCACAAAGGCAUAUAUUGCUAGAUAUGAGUUUAAUAAUUAAAAGAAAAGCAUGCCAGAACAUCUCUUUAGUUGACCUUUGACAUUAUAUAGUUUCUUAGUUUAUGUUAAGCAACUCAGUUUAAUUACAUUUUAUGUGAGUACCCAAGAGUGUGCUAAAGCUAGCUUUUGCUAUCUCAGAAGAGCCUCUUGUUAAAAUUUUAGUGUGACUUGAAAAUCAACAGACUUGUUUAUUCCCAAGGAGUGUAGUAGAGGUUCUACUUAACUCGGGAAAGCUGAUUAUUAAAAUUUCAUUAUUACCUUUUACACCUUGGAAGUUAACAAAUUUAAAAAUCAGGGUUUGAUAUAUCUAUUUUGGUUGUCUUGACUUAAGAAAAUAAUGGAGAAAGUGUUAAUACUAGAGGUGAAGCUUAAAAGUGUGUCCUCUGUAUAUGUAUGUACAUGUUUUAUUUUUGCCAGCAUACCCCUGAUUAUAACAAGUUUCCUAAAAGGUAGGUAGUUUCUCAGCAGAUUUCUAGGAGUUCUCAAUCAUAAUGAUGCUAUUUCUGACAUAGAUGGUAGUACUUAGAAUUUGGUUUGGAAAGCAAAGCUUAAAAAAAUAUUGUUCACUAAUUGAAUAUAAAGAAGCAUUAAGUAUUUCUAGUGGUAAAAAUCAGAAAGGAUCCUCACAGGAGAUCUGUGAAAGAUGAGAAAACUGAAAAGCAUGCUCUAGAUAAAGGCUCAGAAAAAAGGACAAAAGAAAGAAAUAUACUUACCUUUGUAAAAGUAGUAAUGAAGAUUGAGGAUGGUAUGAAAUAAGCAUUUCACAUAGCUUUUUCUUUAGCUUCAUUUUUAGGGUGAAUUAGUAUAUCAAAUUAAGAUGAUAUCAAGGAUGAUAAAUAAAUAGCUGGUGAAGAGUAUACUUGUUCCAGAUUUGUGAAAAUAGAGCUCUGGCCUACUUCAUUCAAGCUUAGUUGUUUUCAAGACUGGAUUUUGAUGACUUGUCUAAUAUUUUGUUCAAGGAAUUAACCCAAAUUGUUACACAAUUGUAUAACAAUCAACUAUCAGUUUUGCGAGUUAAUAAAAUGACUUAAAAGACUAACAAUAAAUAUAACUGUUUGCAUGUUUUAGAAGGCUGGAGUUUACAGACUUAAAGCUAGGAAAAUCAUAGACUAAAAAAAUCAUUUGUAAACAUCUAGAAGAAAGGAUAAUAUAGGGGCAGCUAGAUGGUGCAUUGGACAGAGUGUCAACCCUGAAGUCAGAAGACCUAAGUUCAAUUUCGGCCUUAGACGCUUAACACUUCUAGCUGUGUGACCCUGGGCAAGUUACUUAGUCCCAGUUGUCUCAGCAAAAAAAAAAAAGAAAGAAAAGGAAAGAAAAGAAAAAGAAAAAAAGAGAUAAUAUAUAGUAAUAUUUGUAUUACUUUGUAAAGGUUUGGGCCUGUUGUCAGUCUAAUAUUAGGCUAUAUGAUACUACCCAGAAUAUAUCAUCCACAAAUAUAUGAAGGAGUCAUUAUACAGAAGAUGGUGAUCAGCUGUUGUCCCUUCUCCCUUGAGAGCCAAACAGUGGGACAUGGACAUUAAUUGUAGCAUGAGGGAUUUGGGCUAAGUAUGAAAAAUAAUACCCGUUAAUUGAAAACAAUUUUAUGAUGAGUAUCUUAUUCUAUGAAUAAGAUCCCUUAUUCAAAGGAUCUAUGGUGAUUCCUUGAAAAAAUGCAGUGUGAUCUUUUAGAACAUUUAUGAAACACCUAUUAUGUGCAAAAACCAAAACCAAAAAAACCCAAAACACCAUAGGAAUAGCUGCAGGGAUUGCCAGGAAUUCAGAAAGUGAGACCGCCCUGGUGGAACACAUGUAAGUGUGAAACAUACAUAUCAAAUUAAGUGACGGACGAGAAAUGCCACAAAUAACAAAUUUUAACUGAUAAGACUAGGAAAUCAUUCCAUCAUGCCAAUAGCUUUUGGACUAUCAGGGAUGUUCUUUCCAGUUCACACAAGUUCCAAAUCUGAUUCCCUUUGCCAUCUUCUUGCUAUCCUUAUCCUUAUCCUGAGAGUUCUCAAAUAUUUGGCAUCUGUGCUGUGUUUUUUGAUCAAUGUGUCUGUCUGUCUGAGCACAGCUUCCACUUCCAGAUGAUGAGAUAGGAUUUGAAGUCUCUCUGAAAACCCUGAGGCAUCAGAGAAAUGCCAGUGAAAUCUCUAUGCUUAGGAACUAAUGACCUUCCCUGGUGAAGCUCAAACCGUUGAUUCUGAUUGAUUUAAUAGAAGGAUAGUUAGAUUAUGUACUAAGUCAAUGGAAUAAUUCUCAAAUUUCAUUCAGAUGACCUGAAAAGAUCCAUCCCUUCUUAUAUCUUUAGUUAUGGAAAAACCUAAAAGGCUAGUGCAGUAAGAGAAGCAUAGUUGCAUAGUAGGUUUCUUCACUGUACGGCAAUUAAAGGACCAUUGCACUGCUCAUUGUCGGCACUUUCAGAAAUUGUCAGUGUGUAACCAUUGACUUCAACCAUUUGAAGUGCUAUUGUGGAGGAUUAGGCUUGUUCUGCUUAGCUUUAGGGGGCAGAACUUAGAGGACCAAUAGGGAACAAUUAAAAGAAGGCAGAAUUUUUUUGGUGCCAUAUAACAAAGAACGCCUAAUGAUAAGAGCCUUCCAAAAUGGAAAUGGCUGCCCUUGAGUGGUAGUGCGCUCCCAGGGAUUGUGUUGUUUAAAUAGGACUUAGCAACCUACUUUCAGGGAUGUUGUUGAGGAAGAGUAUGUUUCAAGUAAUAGUUGGACUAAUUUAUCUCCCAUUUAAAAAUUAUAAUUGUUUUUAAUUAUAAUUCUCAUUAUCAAAUAGUUAUCACUCUGCCAUCUGCAUUCAUUCAUUCAUUCUAGGUGUUGCAUGUACACAUGUCCAGAGUGAGAUGGGGAGAGGGAAGGAAGAAUUUCUGAUUCUGAAUACUUUAUAUCAGUGUCUUAAGUUCUUGUCCUUUUGCAUUGAUUGGCCUUGCAUUGAUAGAAAUAUCAGAAUCUUAUUGUAUAGAGAAUUAAAUGAGAGGUCAAUUAAGUCUCAAAGAGGAACACUAAGUAAUGAGAAAGAGAAAGCUGUUUUUUCUAAGGGAGCAGACAUUUUAAUUAUUAGAAGGUAGAAGAUGUGAUAAAUUUAUUCUAAUAUUUAAAUAGUUCACAGUAUCCAGAGGAACACUACUUUUUUUUUAUUUAAUUUAAUUUUAUUUAAUAAUAACUUUGUAUUGACAGAAUCCAUGCCAGGGUAAUUUUUUACAACAUUAUCCGUUGCACUCGCUUAUGUUUCGUUUUUUCCCCUCCCUCCCUCCACCCCCCCCAAGAUGGCAAGCAGUCCUAUAUAUGUUAAAUAUAUUGCAGUAUAUCCUAGAUAUAAUACAUAUUUGCAGAACCAAACAGUUCUCCUGUUGCACAGGGAGAAUUGGAUUUAGAAGGUAAAAAUAACUCGGGAAGAAAAUCAAAAAUGCAAAUAGUUCACAUUCGUUUCCCAGUGUUCCUUCUUUGGGUGUAGCGAACACUACUUUCUGUGAGUUAAAAUUAGCCCUUAGGGUUAAUUCGGAUGAAAUAUAGAAUUCAGAGAAAUAAGGAAAUAACUGACAUAGAAUGGAUAAACCAAAGCAGAAAGUAAUUAUUAAUGAAAGAAAAUUCCUAAGAUUUCAAUCAGUAAUUGAAUAUACUCCUUUCUUUUGACAAGUAAUGAAAUAUUAUUAAGGUAAAAUGUUGUGUACACUUCCAGUGAGGUCAUGAUAUUAGUUUUGUUACAAAGGGGUAUUCAAUUCUGGAGGGUAGGGAAGAGGAAAGAAUAUAGGUAUCUCCAGAAAGGCCUAUGAUGUUUAAAAAAAAAAAGAAUAAUUUCAGUUGUCAGUGGAUGGAGAAACAAGUUUCCAGAAGAAUUAUGUAUUGUAGCACACUGCUACUAAUGCUUAAAACAUCAUUACUGUCUUGUGAGCUUCUGUUCACCAUAUUCAUCUUGUUCCUUUAUAUUUUGUGAGUUGCCUGUUUCCUUUCUCCCCUUUUGAAAAUUAUUCCAAUGAGUAUUGUGACAUAAGUAACACGACAUAGUGCAAAGCUUCUCCACUUAAUCUUUCCUCUUGUAUUUACUAUUUCUGUGGCUGAGGACAAGUCACUUAACUUAUCUUUCUUUCUGCCUCCUGUUUUCCUUAUCUGUUAAGUAAGGGUUGAUUAUAGAACUUGUUUCGCAAUGUUUCUGUCAUUGGCAUGAACUGACCUUUUUAAAAAGUUAUAUACAUAUGAUGACCAUGAUCUUCAAUCCCAAGAAGUUUAUAUUCUGUAAAGAGGACAAAGUAGUAUAGACUUUACCAUUGACAGAACUUUUAAGCCCUAAACAUCUAAAGUUCUCUUCAUAAUUCGACCAGUUUUUAAUCUGCAUCUCUUUGGAUGUCUUUAGAACUAACAGCAGUAUUUCUUCAUCAGUGUUGGAAAAGCCCAUUGAAACUUAGAGCAAACUCCAACAAGAGAUGCUGCUUCCCACUUUCAAAGCAUGGAUCAAGGAGGAAUCAUUAUUAGUUGAUCAUUCAAAACACUUUGAUAAAUGCCUACUUUUAGGUCAUUUCUGUGAGGGUAUACAGGAGCAAUUCCUUCCAUCAGGAAACUUAAAAAUCGAGAGAGAAACUUCUCACUUAAUCACACGGUUGGUACCAGAAAUUGGGUCUGAAAGCACUAAUAAAGUGGUCAGGAACUCUAAUGUAUGGCACUUGGUAGAAGAAGCUGUCUUCUAAAAUGAGGUUUUAGGCCAUUUCCUUGUUUUUCUUGUCUUUCCACAGAUGGUAUUUGAAAACCCAAGGAACAUCAGGAUCAGCUAUCCAGUUCUCAGAAAUUAAGUGUGUGAAAUCCAAAGGGCUUCAACCCAGUGUUCAUCUCAUCAAGAUCUUUGUGGACUCCAGUCCUGUCACCCUUUUCCUCAGCUUCAUGUCAUUCUCAAAUUUGAUAAAUAUGACACUUCUGCCUUCUUCAAACUCAUUGAUGUAUAUGUAUGUCCAAAGUCAAGGGCAAAGCCCUAUGCCAUUCCACUAGACAUUUCUCCACAUUGACAGUGAUCCAGUAGUCAGUCAUGUUUUCAGUUCUGAAACCACUUAACUACUAUUAUCCAAACCAAAUCUUCCUUUUGUCAAGGAAGAUAGCUCAAGACACAAUAGCCUAAGAAUGAACAAAGUACAAUAUAAACUGAAAUUCUUAUAGGAGCACUCUUGAUGUUAACAAGUGAAAACAAAGUUAAGAAUCCCAUGAUUCAGGAAUGGCUGAAAAAAGAUGAAACAUUUUUGAGAUAUCAAUAUAAUUGAAAAUUGUGCAAUAUGAAAUGAUGAAUAGAAAGAAUUCAAAGAAAUGAGAAGAUUUAUCUGAACUUGUAUGAAGUAUAAAGGAGAACUAAGAAAAAUAUAAACAGUGACUACAAAAAUUUAGUGACUUUGAAAAGGGGAAACAUGCACAUGAACAGAUCUCUAAAAGGAAAUUGAGCUCUUGAACAAUGGAAAAACCAGGGAAGAUUCUGGACAAGAGAUAAUGAAACACACCUCCUUUAUGGAUCAAAAAUGUGAAAGUCUGUCAGGACAGAAUAUGAAAUGUAUCUUCAGACACAAUCUCUGUGUCAAAUGUACUUUUAAAAUUGUAUUUACUGGUCACAAAGCACGGUUCAAUCUAGAGGGCUAUGUGGGAAACUGAUGUAAAGACAAAAAGCAUCAAUAAAAUGUAUUUUUACAAAAAAA